GUCGACGCUUCUUUUCCCACCGGAGCUUGCUCCACCGGGAAAAGAGGAGUGGCGAACGGGUGAGUAACACGUGGGUAACCUGCCCAUCAGAAGGGGAUAACACUUGGAAACAGGUGCUAAUACCGUAUAACAAUCGAAACCGCAUGGUUUCGUUUUGAAAGGCGCUUUACGGUGCCGCUGAUGGAUGGACCCGCGGUGCAUUAGCUAGUUGGUGAGGUAACGGCUCACCAAGGCCACGAUGCAUAGCCGACCUGAGAGGGUGAUCGGCCACAUUGGGACUGAGACACGGCCCAAACUCCUACGGGAGGCAGCAGUAGGGAAUCUUCGGCAAUGGACGAAAGUCUGACCGAGCAACGCCGCGUGAGUGAAGAAGGUUUUCGGAUCGUAAAACUCUGUUGUUAGAGAAGAACAAGGGUGAGAGUAACUGUUCACCCCUUGACGGUAUCUAACCAGAAAGCCACGGCUAACUACGUGCCAGCAGCCGCGGUAAUACGUAGGUGGCAAGCGUUGUCCGGAUUUAUUGGGCGUAAAGCGAGCGCAGGCGGUUUCUUAAGUCUGAUGUGAAAGCCCCCGGCUCAACCGGGGAGGGUCAUUGGAAACUGGGAGACUUGAGUGCAGAAGAGGAGAGUGGAAUUCCAUGUGUAGCGGUGAAAUGCGUAGAUAUAUGGAGGAACACCAGUGGCGAAGGCGGCUCUCUGGUCUGUAACUGACGCUGAGGCUCGAAAGCGUGGGGAGCAAACAGGAUUAGAUACCCUGGUAGUCCACGCCGUAAACGAUGAGUGCUAAGUGUUGGAGGGUUUCCGCCCUUCAGUGCUGCAGCUAACGCAUUAAGCACUCCGCCUGGGGAGUACGACCGCAAGGUUGAAACUCAAAGGAAUUGACGGGGGCCCGCACAAGCGGUGGAGCAUGUGGUUUAAUUCGAAGCAACGCGAAGAACCUUACCAGGUCUUGACAUCCUUUGACCACUCUAGAGAUAGAGCUUCCCCUUCGGGGGCAAAGUGACAGGUGGUGCAUGGUUGUCGUCAGCUCGUGUCGUGAGAUGUUGGGUUAAGUCCCGCAACGAGCGCAACCCUUAUUGUUAGUUGCCAUCAUUUAGUUGGGCACUCUAGCAAGACUGCCGGUGACAAACCGGAGGAAGGUGGGGAUGACGUCAAAUCAUCAUGCCCCUUAUGACCUGGGCUACACACGUGCUACAAUGGGAAGUACAACGAGUCGCGAAGUCGCGAGGCUAAGCUAAUCUCUUAAAGCUUCUCUCAGUUCGGAUUGUAGGCUGCAACUCGCCUACAUGAAGCCGGAAUCGCUAGUAAUCGCGGAUCAGCACGCCGCGGUGAAUACGUUCCCGGGCCUUGUACACACCGCCCGUCACACCACGAGAGUUUGUAACACCCGAAGUCGGUGAGGUAACCUUUUG
Molecule: ribosomal RNA, 1411 nt
Filed under: Enterococcus mundtii
Lineage: Bacteria; Bacillati; Bacillota; Bacilli; Lactobacillales; Enterococcaceae
Description: bacterial SSU rRNA
Rfam family: Bacterial small subunit ribosomal RNA
Source: RNAcentral